This 826-nucleotide ribosomal RNA is filed under the name Leptodactylus stenodema (San Jose white-lipped frog). RNAcentral describes it as "partial 16S ribosomal RNA". It matches the Rfam family "Bacterial large subunit ribosomal RNA", at positions 1475 to 2589 of the family's 2925-position model. Lineage: Eukaryota; Metazoa; Chordata; Amphibia; Anura; Leptodactylidae. The record is from RNAcentral.
CACUUCAAUAUCAGCAAUUCUAUAAAACUAUAGAACUUUUCAUGUUAAAACUAGUAACAAGAAGACCUAACUUCUCUCAAAUGCAAGCAUAAGUCAGAUAGGACUAACCACUGACUCUUAACAUACGUGAUUUUACAGUAAAAACAAUACAAGAAAAUCCUACUAAACUAAAUGUUAACCUAACACAAGAGCAUUACAAGAAAGAUUUAAAGAAAAAGAAGGAACUCGGCAAAUUUUAACCCCGCCUGUUUACCAAAAACAUCGCCUCUUGAACAAUCUAUAAGAGGUCCAGCCUGCCCAGUGACUCUGUUCAACGGCCGCGGUAUCCUAACCGUGCGAAGGUAGCGUAAUCACUUGUUCUUUAAAUGAGGACUUGUAUGAAUGGCACCACGAAGGUUAUACUGUCUCCUCUCUCUAAUCAGUGAAACUAAUCUCCCCGUGAAGAAGCGGGGAUAACUAUAUAAGACGAGAAGACCCUAUGGAGCUUUAAACCAAGUGGCAACUGCAUUAGUAACAUUUAAAUUUCAGAAAACUAACUUUCACCAAAGCAUUAUUGCUCCUAGUUUUAGGUUGGGGCGACCACGGAGUAAAAACUAACCUCCGCAAUGAAUGGGGAACUCCCCCCUAAACCAAGGACCACAGCCCAAAGAAUCAUUACAUUGACAUAAAUUGACCCAAAAACUUGACCAAUGAACCAAGUUACCCUAGGGAUAACAGCGCAAUCCACUUCAAGAGCCCAUAUCGACAAGUGGGUUUACGACCUCGAUGUUGGAUCAGGGUAUCCCAGUGGUGUAGCCGUUACUAACGGUUCGUUUGUUCAACGAUU